Molecule: long non-coding RNA, 86 nt
Organism: Etheostoma cragini (Arkansas darter)
Lineage: Eukaryota; Metazoa; Chordata; Actinopteri; Perciformes; Percidae
Exons: 3
Source: RefSeq, a predicted model, not a curated record
UUUAAAGUUAUUAAGCUUGUUUGGUAGCUUGGUGGAUAGUUAAUUAGCUUGCUUGCUAAUUCCACCCACCGUGCUUUCAUGGCUAC